This 526-nucleotide ribosomal RNA is filed under the name uncultured Glomus. RNAcentral describes it as "SSU rRNA". It matches the Rfam family "Eukaryotic small subunit ribosomal RNA", at positions 563 to 1092 of the family's 1831-position model. The record is from RNAcentral. Lineage: Eukaryota; Fungi; Glomeromycota; Glomeromycetes; Glomerales; Glomeraceae.
GGUGCCAGCAGCCGCGGUAAUUCCAGCUCCAAUAGCGUAUAUUAAGUUGUUGCAGUUAAAAGCUCGUAGUUGAAUUUCGGGACCAAUUUGUUGGUCGUGCCUCGGUACGUACUGGUAUUAUUGGUUUCUCCCUUCUGAAGAACCUCGAUGUCAUUAAUUUGGUGUCGUGGGGAGUCAGGACUGUUACUUUGAAAAAAUUAGAGUGUUUAAAGCAGGCUCACGCUUGAAUACAUUAGCAUGGAAUAAUGAAAUAGGACGUUUGAUUCUAUUUUGUUGGUUUCUAGGGAUCGACGUAAUGAUUAAUAGGGAUAGUUGGGGGCAUUAGUAUUCAAUUGUCAGAGGUGAAAUUCUUGGAUUUAUUGAAGACUAACUACUGCGAAAGCAUUUGCCAAGGAUGUUUUCAUUAAUCAAGAACGAAAGUUAGGGGAUCGAAGACGAUCAGAUACCGUCGUAGUCUUAACCAUAAACUAUGCCGACUAGGGGAUCGGAUGAUGUUAAUUUUUAAUGACUCAUUCGGCGCCUUACG